GUCCUCGCUUGCAAUAGUUUGGAGACAAAGUUUUGCUAUUUCAACAAUUUCACUCAAUUUACACAAUCCAAUUCCCAUUCUAGAACAUAAACCAUUACACUUUCAAUUUCAAAAUUUCAUUCUUACAAAAAUUAUACACAAAUCACUCAAUUUCCAACCUUACAUUCAUUUUUACAACAUACUGUCAUACUUCAAUCCAUAUCCCAUUUAAACCAAAUUUCGUACAUAUAUUAUACAAACGUACACCCGAUCCCAAUCCGUAUGACAUAUAACUCCAAACUUACAUUAGUUACAAAAAUUACAACACCAACACUAGCUAAUGCAACUAAUUUCAACACUUCAUCACCCUAACCCUUUCUCUGAUCAAGAAAAUUUAAUUGGGUUGGUGGAUGCCAUUUUCCCUCUUUUGUCUGAUGCGAACUGCAAGGUUCCUGUCGUCGCCAAGCCUGCAUCAAACCAUGGCCACCAACCCAUUAAAAAAUGAAGCAAAGCCAUGCCUGCAGAGCUUUCAUUUAGCCUACAUUUGA
Molecule: long non-coding RNA, 527 nt
Filed under: Lathyrus oleraceus (garden pea)
Lineage: Eukaryota; Viridiplantae; Streptophyta; Magnoliopsida; Fabales; Fabaceae
Description: Pisum sativum (pea) long non-coding RNA (PSAT_LNC013763)
Source: RNAcentral